RNAcentral lists this ribosomal RNA (499 nucleotides) under uncultured bacterium. RNAcentral describes it as "partial 16S ribosomal RNA". It matches the Rfam family "Bacterial small subunit ribosomal RNA", at positions 28 to 507 of the family's 1533-position model. The record is from RNAcentral.
GACGAACGCUGGCGGCGUGCCUAAUACAUGCAAGUCGAGCGAAGUUUUUCUGGUGCUUGCACCGGAAAAACUUAGCGGCGAACGGGUGAGUAACACGUAAAGAACCUGCCUCAUAGACUGGGACCACUAUUGGAAACGAUCGCUAAUACCGGAUAACAGCAUUACCUGCAUGGUUGAUGUUUAAAAGUUGGUUUUGCUAACACUAUGAGAUGGCUUUGCGGUGCAUUGGCUCGUUGGUGGGGUAAAGGCCUACCAAGGCGACGAGGCAUAGCCGACCUGAGAGGGUGAGCGGCCACACUGGGACUGAGACACGGCCCAGACUCCUACGGGAGGCAGCAGUAGGGAAUCUUCCGCAAUGGGCGAAAGCCUGACGGAGCAACGCCGCGUGAGUGAAGAAGGAUUUCGGUUCGUAAAGCUCGGUUGUUAGGGAAGAAUGAUUGUGUAGUAACGAUACACAGUAGAGACGGUACCUAACCAGAAAGCCACGGCUAACUACGUG